RNAcentral lists this unclassified non-coding RNA (607 nucleotides) under Hevea brasiliensis (rubber tree). Lineage: Eukaryota; Viridiplantae; Streptophyta; Magnoliopsida; Malpighiales; Euphorbiaceae. The record is from RNAcentral.
AGUCCAAACAUGAAAAGUAGAACAAACCUAGAAACUGGAGGUUUUGGAUUCACAUCAUAACGUCCGCAAACUGCCAAAAAGUGAAUUUGACAGCCACAAGAAAAUGCGACUCAAACAUAACUUAGAAAGUACAUGCACUCCAUUUUUUAUGACAAUUUCCCCUUUAAUACAAAGCUUCAUUCCUUGAUACACAUGUCCUUGAUACCAAGCUGUACACAAAAAAGUGCUGCUAAAUUUUUUGGGCAGCAGCAGCAGCAGCAUACAUCCAUUACUUACACAAACCAGUGCCUAGAAACUUUUCUUCUAUUCUCUCCUCUUUGUUUUCCUUUUUCUAGAGUUCAUAUACUAGCCUCACCGAAGCCAAAAUAAACAAGAAUGUCUUUAUUCACAAUUGAGUAAUUGAGACAUUUCAAGGUGUAGAAUUUACUGAGAUCUCCUGCUGCACAGGUGAGCUUGGUUGGUCCAGAUGUGAAGGGAUGACUAGCCGCUGCAAAGGCUUGAGAGCUACUGCAAGCUGGGCAAAGGAUGGACGCAAAUUUGGAUCCGUCUGCCAACAUUCUGUAAUUAUCCUUGCAACUAAUGGAUCAACAUCCUUGGGGAUUUCACG